Molecule: ribosomal RNA, 253 nt
Filed under: uncultured bacterium
Lineage: Bacteria
Description: partial 16S ribosomal RNA
Rfam family: Bacterial small subunit ribosomal RNA
Source: RNAcentral
UACAGGGGGUGCAAACGUUGCUCGGAAUCAUUGGGCGUAAAGCGCACGUAGGCGGUCUGUUAUGUCGGAUGUGAAAGCCCUUGGCUCAACUGAGGAAGUGCAUCCGAAACUGGCAGGCUAGAGUACUAAAGAGGGUCGCGGAAUUCCCGGUGUAGAGGUGAAAUUCGUAGAUAUCGGGAGGAACACCAGUGGCGAAGGCGGCGACCUGGGCCAAUAUUGACGCUGAGGAGCGAAAGCUAGGGGAGCAAACGGG